GGAAAGCGGGGGAUUCGCAAGAACCUCGCGCUAUGGGAGCGGCCGAUGUCCGAUUAGCUUGUUGGUGAGGUAAUGGCUUACCAAGGCGACGAUCGGUAGCUGGUCUGAGAGGAUGAUCAGCCACACUGGGACUGAGACACGGCCCAGACUCCUACGGGAGGCAGCAGUGGGGAAUUUUGGACAAUGGGGGCAACCCUGAUCCAGCCAUGCCGCGUGCGGGAAGAAGGCCUUCGGGUUGUAAACCGCUUUUGUCCGGAAAGAAAAGGCGCCUCCUAAUACGGGGCGUCCUUGACGGUACCGGAAGAAUAAGCACCGGCUAACUACGUGCCAGCAGCCGCGGUAAUACGUAGGGUGCGAGCGUUAAUCGGAAUUACUGGGGCGUAAAGCGUGCGUAGGCGGUCCGCAAAGUCUGAUGUGAAAGCCCCGGGCUCAACCUGGGAACUGCAUUGGAAACUAACGGGCUCGAGUGU
RNAcentral lists this ribosomal RNA (470 nucleotides) under uncultured bacterium. Its description in RNAcentral is "bacterial SSU rRNA". It matches the Rfam family "Bacterial small subunit ribosomal RNA", at positions 201 to 649 of the family's 1533-position model. The record is from RNAcentral.